ACUUAUAUUCUGUAGCAAGGUUAACCGUAUAGGGGAGCCGGAGGGAAACCGAGUCUUAACCGGGCGUUAAGUUGCAGGGUAUAGACCCGAAACCCGGUGAUCUAGCCAUGGGCAGGUUGAAGGUUGGGUAACACUAACUGGAGGACCGAACCGACUAAUGUUGAAAAAUUAGCGGAUGACCUGUGGCUGGGGGUGAAAGGCCAAUCAAACCGGGAGAUAGCUGGUUCUCCCCGAAAGCUAUUUAGGUAGCGCCUCGUGAAUUCAUCUCCGGGGGUAGAGCACUGUUUCGGCUAGGGGGCCAUCCCGGCUUACCAACCCGAUGCAAACUGCGAAUACCGGAGAAUGUUAUCACGGGAGACACACGGCGGGUGCUAACGUCCGUCGUGAAGAGGGAAACAACCCAGACCGCCAGCUAAGGUCCCAAAGUCAUGGUUAAGUGGGAAACGAUGUGGGAAGGCCCAGACAGCCAGGAUGUUGGCUUAGAAGCAGCCAUCAUUUAAAGAAAGCGUAAUAGCUCACUGGUCGAGUCGGCCUGCGCGGAAGAUGUAACGGGGCUAAACCAUG
RNAcentral lists this ribosomal RNA (564 nucleotides) under Salmonella enterica. RNAcentral's name for it is "partial 23S ribosomal RNA". It matches the Rfam family "Bacterial large subunit ribosomal RNA", at positions 626 to 1191 of the family's 2925-position model. The record is from RNAcentral. Lineage: Bacteria; Pseudomonadati; Pseudomonadota; Gammaproteobacteria; Enterobacterales; Enterobacteriaceae. RNAcentral also lists the same sequence under 1 other name.